UACGAAGGGGGCUAGCGUUGUUCGGAUUUACUGGGCGUAAAGCGCACGUAGACGGAUUGUUAAGUCGGGGGUGAAAUCCUGGAGCUCAACUCCAGAAUUGCCUUCGAUACUGGCUUUCUAGAGGCUGGAAGAGGUUAGUGGAAUUCCCAGUGUAGAGGUGAAAUUCGUAGAUAUUGGGAAGAACACCAGUGGCGAAGGCGGCCCACUGGUCCGGUACUGACGCUGAGGUGCGAAAGCGUGGGGAGCAAACAGG
This 253-nucleotide ribosomal RNA is filed under the name uncultured bacterium. RNAcentral describes it as "partial 16S ribosomal RNA". It matches the Rfam family "Bacterial small subunit ribosomal RNA", at positions 524 to 776 of the family's 1533-position model. The record is from RNAcentral.